CUGGGGCUCAACCCCAGACCUGCAUCCGAUACGGUCGAGCUAGAGUUUGGUAAGGGAGACUGGAAUUCCUGGUGUAGCGGUGGAAUGCGCAGAUAUCAGGAGGAACACCAAUGGCGAAGGCAGGUCUCUGGGCCAAUACUGACACUGAGGAGCGAAAGCGUGGGGAGCGAACAGGAUUAGAUAACCUGGUAGUCCACGCCGUAAACGGUGGGCGCUAGUUGUGGGAACCUUCCACGGUUUCUGCGACGCAGCUAACGCAUUAAGCGCCCCGCCUGGGGAGUACGAUCGCAAGAUUAAAACUCAAAGGAAUUGACGGGGCCCCGCACAAGCAGCGGAGCAUGCGGCUUAAUUCGACGCAACGCGAAGAACCUUACCAAGGCUUGACAUAUACAGGAAAAUGGCAGAGAUGUCAUAGCGGUAAAACGUCUGUAUACAGGUGGUGCAUGGUUGUCGUCAGCUCGUGUCGUGAGAUGUUGGGUUAAGUCCCGCAACGAGCGCAACCCUCGUUCUGUGUUGCCAGCAUUUAGUUGGGGACUCACAGGAGACUGCCGGGGUUAACUCGGAGGAAGGUGGGGAUGACGUCAAAUCAUCAUGCCCCUUAUGUCUUGGGCUGCACGCAUGCUACAAUGGCUGGUACAAAGGGCUGCAAUACUGCAAAGUGGAGCGAAUCCCAAAAAGCCAGUCUCAGUUCGGAUUGGGGUCUGCAACUCGACCCCAUGA
This 720-nucleotide ribosomal RNA is filed under the name uncultured bacterium. Its description in RNAcentral is "bacterial SSU rRNA". It matches the Rfam family "Bacterial small subunit ribosomal RNA", at positions 602 to 1323 of the family's 1533-position model. The record is from RNAcentral.